AAUCAGGGGUGGUCGGGCGUGCGAGCCACGCGACUCUCUGGGCCAGGGGGCCAACUGGGCGCCCGCGCGGCACCGGCCGGGUUCCCUGCGCGGUGGCAUUUAGGCCUGACGCCCUUGCUUCUCUUGCACGGAGCAGUCGAGAUCCAUAGUCGUUUGUAAUGCGAACCGUAGGUGGAAGUGCUUCUCUAAACUCUCCCAAACCGUCUUCGCUCAGCCUACGAUCCGGCCCAGUUUUCUUCCAAGCAGGUUAUUUGGCUGGUCAAACAACCAAAUGGAGAUUGGACAGGAUUAACAGGAGAAAAACUAGUGUAAUUCUUCACAUCCAGGAGCCGCAAACCUGUGACACCUGAAGGACAGCCAGGCUUAUCUGCAGUGGCCCUGGCCGAUGUCAACAUCGGGAGCCUCAGCUGCAGUGUCGGGGCUGGGGGACCUGCCCCAGCAGCUGCUGCGGCACCAGCAGGAGCCCCCGCCCCCUCUACCACUGCUACCCCAGCUGAAGAGAAGAAAGUGGAAGCAAAGAAAGAAGAAUCUGAGGAGUCUGAUGGCGAGAUGGGCUUUGCUCUUUUUGACCAAACCUGUUUUGUAACGUGUUCAAUAAAAAGCUGAAUUCAA
Lynx canadensis (Canada lynx) is the source of this 612-nucleotide long non-coding RNA. RefSeq lists it as uncharacterized. Lineage: Eukaryota; Metazoa; Chordata; Mammalia; Carnivora; Felidae. The record is from RefSeq and is a predicted model, not a curated record. The transcript has 3 exons.